UGGACUAGUGUUAUAUUACACGGUCAUGGUAACGAGUAUAUGAAGUGUGUCGAAAAUGAUCACCAUUUAAAUGAAUUAAUAUCAAGAAAUUAAUUAUAUGUGUAAUUGGUUAAAUGCUGGAUUAUAGUGGGGAUGAAGGAAUUAAAUACUUAGUUAUUUGAUAAUAUUACGUGCCAACCAUUCUACGUGGAAGUCUUGGAAAUGAGCAGCAUAUGACUAUGCAAAUUUAUGUAAUGGGUGACAUAUUUUGGUGUAGUGUGAUCAUUAUCAUUAUGAGCUAAGUGGACCCCAAAACCCACUAUAAAAGGAUUUAUAUAGAGAUCAUUCUAGUGGGAAACAAUUCAAGUAAAAUAUUUGGGCAGUAACGAUUUUUCCAUGGAAAAGUUUGCAAACUUAGCAAUCUUGUUUUGGAAAGUAAAAACACUUAGGUAAUGUUUAAGGGACAAUAUGUCCACAUGGGUCCCAUGUGGGGAAAGAUCAUUUUUUAUGUGUAAUUAUAAGUAUAGAUAAAUGUGGCUUUUAGGGAGUGACCUUGUUAAAUUAUAAUAGUGACUAAUUAAUCAAAUGAGUAGCUAGUGAAGUGGUAGGAGUCCACGUGUAUUAUUUUUAUUCACAUGGAAAGCUUCUAAUAAAUUCACAUGGUAUGCUAACGUGUCCCUAUAGGAUACAAUGAGCCAAAAGUUAGGCCAGUAAUUUGUUUACAUAGUGGAAGGUUAACAUUGAAAGGACCAAACAUUUUCAGCAACUUUCCACUUCAUUUUCUAUUUCAAGAAUCAAUGUUCAUCUUUGGAAGAGUGCAAAACGUUGCUAUCAAUUCUUAUGCACUUUGAAUAAGCAAAUUGAUAGAAGUUGCUUACGGUUGUAGCUCAUCUGGAGCCCUCGGCUAAGCGCCAUUUUUUUUGAAAGAAAGAUUAUAAUUUCCACCAAGAAUUUUAAGAGGUCAAGCUUGCUAGUAAGGUUUUUCUUCCAGUUGUUGAGACCUGCGAGCACGAGAAGUAGACGUUGGACAUUAGAUAGAGUUCAAGGUAGACAGGGAGGUGAGCUUGAUCCAGAUUCUUAGUAACUGUCAGCUGAUUGAGAGAACUCUAUUGUUCGGAGCAGGAGAGUGGUGUCGACAAGUGAAGGUAAAUAAUGCUACUGGAAGUUACAGAGGCUAAUAUUUCAUUGAGGUUACGUUAUCAGAAAUUAUAUACAAAGAAUGGCGACUGGUCAUCAUCAAGGUUAGUAAUUGUGAAUAUAGUAAGAAAAUGGAUUGAAUGUAUAUAUAUUGACGAUAAGUUCAGUUAUAAAGUGUGAACAGAAGAAGCUGAAGGAAUUAGUAAAAAGAUAAGUAAGCAGGGUAUAUGUUAGAUAUGGUGCAGAUUACAGGUAUGAUUGAUAUGUCGCUAAAGAUUUAAAAGGGAAAGGAGAUAGAAAAGUAUAACGGGUACAGUUUGAGUUGGACAUACGAGGUAAGUUCAUCAUUUUUUUUUAUAUACGGUUGUUGAUAUUGGGAGCCCUGUGUGGCUAUGAUAUGAUAUAUAUAUACUGGCCCUGUGAGGCAUUGUUGGUAUUUCCUGCGUGCAGGUUUUGGGAUAGUAAGAAAUACAGAGAAAACUCUGUCGAAAUUUUCCUAGAAUUAAAGGAGAAUGAGAUAUAGGUUCGUAAAAGGUCUUGAAAGGUCAUGUCAACAGUAAUGAUAAGAUUUGACUAAGUUGCGAGUAUGGCUGACUUCAAAAAAUAAUAAGUUAAUCGUUGAAUUGAUGGUAAUAGUAAUUAUGAGGUCGAUAUCGAUAUGGUAAAAAGAAAUGCUAGGACAAUUUGGAAGGGCUUGUGAUAAUAAGAGAUGAUUUAGAAAAGGUUGGCAAAUUUUAAUAUAGCGUUAUAUUGAGGUAUCAACUGAAUUAAUAAGCAAGGUGAGACACGACAUGAUAGAAGAGUAACUGAUUCUUCAUAAGAUCACCAUAUCCAGUAUACUUAUACAGGACUAGUUUAACAUUCGAGGACGAAUGUUCUAAAGGGGGGAAGAAUGUUACAUCCCGUAUUUUCGUGCGUUGGAAAGCGUGCGAGUUAAAUGACAUUAGUAACGGAAGCGAGGUUAUCCCUCAACCUUAUAGGCGGUAUUGAUGGUACAGAUGUGUUAUAAAUAUUAGAAUUUAAACAAAGCUAAGAAAAUAAGUUUCGUCGAGGUUCAAAAUUUAUUUAAAUGAAAUACAGUCCAAGCUAUAAUAUCCUGUAUUUUUGUACUAGGAAAUCGAAGCGUCUAGGAUGAGCAAAUUGUACCGAUUGUAAGAUUUGGUCAUAGUCAAACAUGAAAAUAAAAGAAUUCGGUGUACACAAGAAAUGGAGUCCCGAGAUAAUUUAAGAUGGAAAAGUGUGAUUACUGGAAAUAAUAUUUUAUGUGUGGCAAAUGAGGUUAUGGACUAGUGUUAUAUUACACGGUCAUGGUAAUGAGUAUAUGAAGUGUGUCGAAAAUGAUCACCAUUUAAAUGAAUUAAGAUCAAGAAAUUAAUUAUAUGUGUAAUUGGUUAAAUGCUGGAUUAUAGUGGGGAUGAAGGAAUUAAAUACUUAGUUAUUUGAUAAUAUUACGUGCCAACCAUUCUACGUGGAAGUCUUGGAAAUGAGCAGCAUAUGACUAUGCAAAUUUAUGUAAUGGGUGACAUAUUUUGGUGUAGUGUGAUCAUUAUCAUUAUGAGCUAAGUGGACCCCAAAACCCACUAUAAAAGGAUUUAUAUAGAGAUCAUUCUAGUGGGAAACAAUUCAAGUAAAAUAUUUGGGCAGUAACGAUUUUUCCAUGGAAAAGUUUGCAAACUUAGCAAUCUUGUUUUGGAAAGUAAAAGCACUUAGGUAAUGUUUAAGGGACAAUAUGUCCACGUGGGUCCCAUGUGGGGAAAGAUCAUUUUUUAUGUGUAAUUAUAAGUAUAGAUAAAUGUGGCUUUUAGGGAGUGACCUGGUUAAAUUAUAAUAGUGACUAAUUAAUCAAAUGAGUAGCUAGUGAAGUGAUAGGAGUCCACGUGUAUUAUUUUUAUUCACAUGGAAAGCUUCUAAUAAAUCCACAUGGUAUGCUAACGUGUCCCUAUAGGAUACAAUGAGCCAAAAGUUAGGCCAGUAAUUUGUUUACAUAGUGGAAGGUUAACAUUGAAAGGACCAAACAUUUUCAGCAACUUUCCACUUCAUUUUCUAUUUCAAGAAUCAAUGUUCAUCUUUGGAAGAGUGCAAAACGUUGCUAUCAAUUCUUAUGCACUUUGAAUAAGCAAAUUGAUAGAAGUUGCUUACGGUUGUAGCUCAUCUGGAGCCCUCGGCUAAGUGCCAUUUUUUUUGAAAGAAAGAUUAUAAUUUCCACCAAGAAUUUUAAGAGGUCAAGCUUGCUAGUAAGGUUUUUCUUCCAGUUGUUGAGGUAAGGUUUAUUCCCUCCUACAUGUUCUAGAGAUGGUUUUGGUCUUUAUACAAUUAGAUGGAUGUUGAAUUUGUGAAAGUAAAACUUAAGUCAUGCUAGAACUUGUACUGAUUUUAUGGGCUGUUUUGGAAGUGAUUUAAGAAUGGAUUUAAUUCUAGUUUGAUAUGAAAUUGUUGGUAUUGUUGUUGUUAGUAUUUUUAUUGAUGUUUGGCUAAGUUGGAAUUUCGAGGAUUGUUAAGUUUACAGGAGAAAUGCUGCCCGAAUUUUGUUAAGUUUCAUUCGUACUUGGAUUGGUUAGCAAGUGAUGUGGAUAAUCUAACUGUGGCCUAUGUUAUCUUAAUUUUAGACCUGCGAGCUCGAGAAGUAGACGUUGGACAUUAGAUAGAGUUCAAGGUAUGUGAGGCUAGUCCUUUCUUUCUAUGGCAUGAAUCUUAUAGCUUGACUCUCUUUUUAUCCAUAAGUUCCCUUAAGUUCCGGAAAAUAUGAGUCUAUGUCCGUAAUUAGCCACACAAGGUAAUGAGUAAAGUAUAGAAAUCCCAAUACUCAUGUUGUGAUGAUCCUAUGAUGUUAAUGAUACUAUUUAUUGCUUACACUCACCUUAUAUGCCAAUUCCUUCAAGGUGAGGCAGGAUGUCAAUGAAUGUUCCAUAAUGACGUCGGAAGCCACCGACCUUACGUCACUCCGAUAUAGUUAAGGCUUUUGAUUGGGCUCUUAUGCAUGUUUUAUAUAUAUAUAUGUAUGUAUUUUAUCACACCGCGCCGCGCUAUAGUCGGCCGGGCAGGCACGUAGAUGUGCACACCACUAUAGUGGGCAGCUUAUACCCCGGACGCGGGAGGCCUGGACGCAGGCUAUUAUUAUCACACCGCUCCUACAUGGACGGGCAGCUUAUACAUUAUCACACCGUACCUAUAUGGACGGGCAGCUUAUAUAUGUAUACAUACAUGACAUGAUAAUGAUUAUGAGUAAUUCAGCAUGCAUUAUUUCAUUUAUAUUUGACAGCCAGUACAGAUUGCUCUUUCUUGAUGACUCCUUAUUUCAUUGAUGCUUUCCUAUUUCAUUGAUAUAUUGUUAUUGUUUAUGCCUCUCAUACUCAGUACAAUAUUCGUACUGACGUCCGUUUUCUUCGGACGCUGUGUUCAUGCCCACAGGUAGACAGGGAGGUGAGCUUGAUCCAGAUUCUUAGUAACUGUCAGCUGAUUGAGAGCACUCUAUUGUUCGGAGGUGCUUAUGUUUAUUCUUUUGGUUCAUAUAUGUAUUUUGCGCACGACGGAGUCUUGUUUCGUCUAUAUGUAUAAUAUGUCAGUAGAGGCUCGUAGACGCGCAGUGUGGGUUAGAUGGUCUCACAAGAUUACUAUGUUAUACUUGUAUAUGUUAUUUUGAUAGCCUAAGGGGCGCAUGUAUAUAAAAUCAUUUGUGUUUUUUUUAAAAUGAAAAAUGGUUGUCUUAUGAUUAUGAGAUUAUGAAUGAUAAAGAAAUGUAAAAAGGUUAUGAUGA
Molecule: long non-coding RNA, 4870 nt
Organism: Lycium barbarum (goji berry)
Lineage: Eukaryota; Viridiplantae; Streptophyta; Magnoliopsida; Solanales; Solanaceae
Exons: 4
Source: RefSeq, a predicted model, not a curated record